RNAcentral lists this ribosomal RNA (253 nucleotides) under uncultured bacterium. Its description in RNAcentral is "partial 16S ribosomal RNA". It matches the Rfam family "Bacterial small subunit ribosomal RNA", at positions 524 to 776 of the family's 1533-position model. The record is from RNAcentral.
UACGGAGGGUGCAAGCGUUGUUCGGAAUUACUGGGCGUAAAGCGCGUGUAGGCGGCCUCUUAAGUCUGGUGUGAAAGCCCGGGGCUUAACCCCGGAAGGGCACUGGAUACUGGGGGGCUUGAGUACCGGAGAGGAAGGUGGAAUUCCUGGUGUAGCGGUGAAAUGCGUAGAUAUCAGGAGGAACACCGGUGGCGAAGGCGGCCUUCUGGACGGCUACUGACGCUGAGACGCGAAAGCGUGGGGAGCAAACAGG